RNAcentral lists this non-coding RNA (30 nucleotides) under Rattus norvegicus (Norway rat). Lineage: Eukaryota; Metazoa; Chordata; Mammalia; Rodentia; Muridae. The record is from RNAcentral.
UGAUAGUUUCCCUUUCUCCACGUUGCCUGC